RNAcentral lists this ribosomal RNA (607 nucleotides) under Cobetia marina. RNAcentral's name for it is "bacterial SSU rRNA". It matches the Rfam family "Bacterial small subunit ribosomal RNA", at positions 867 to 1463 of the family's 1533-position model. The record is from RNAcentral. Lineage: Bacteria; Pseudomonadati; Pseudomonadota; Gammaproteobacteria; Oceanospirillales; Halomonadaceae.
UACCGGCCCCGCAAAAGGGUUUAAAAACUCCAAAAUUGAAAUUUGAACGGGGGGCCCCGCACCAAGCGGUGGAAGCAUGUGGUUUAAUUCGAUGCAACGCCGAAGAACCUUACCCUACCCUUGACAUUCCAGAGGACUUUCCAGAGAUGGAUUUGGUGCCUUCCGGGAACUCUGAGACAGGUGCUGCAUGGCUGUCGUCAGCUCGUGUUGUGAAAUGUUGGGUUAAGUCCCGUAACGAGCGCAACCCCUAUCCUUAUUUGCCAGCGAGUAAUGUCGGGAACUCUAAGGAGACUGCCGGUGACAAACCGGAGGAAGGUGGGGACGACGUCAAGUCAUCAUGGCCCUUACGGGUAGGGCUACACACGUGCUACAAUGGCAAGUACAAAGGGUUGCAAUACGGCGACGUGGAGCCAAUCCCAUAAAGCUUGCCUCAGUCCGGAUUGGAGUCUGCAACUCGACUCCAUGAAGUCGGAAUCGCUAGUAAUCGUGGAUCAGAAUGCCACGGUGAAUACGUUCCCGGGCCUUGUACACACCGCCCGUCACACCAUGGGAGUGGACUGCACCAGAAGUGGUUAGCCUAACCUUCGGGAAGGGCGAUCUAUAUAGU